Oncorhynchus keta (chum salmon) is the source of this 372-nucleotide long non-coding RNA. RefSeq lists it as uncharacterized. The transcript is spliced from 3 exons. The record is from RefSeq and is a predicted model, not a curated record. NCBI's taxonomy places the organism in Eukaryota, Metazoa, Chordata, Actinopteri, Salmoniformes, Salmonidae.
UCCAAUACUCUAACUCCGGUCUGUCUGUAGGUCCUAGCUGACUACAUUAACGGCUCCAUUCCAAUACGCUAACUCCCGUCUGUCUGUAGGUCCUAGCUGACUACAUUAACGGCUCCAUUCCAAUACUCUAACUCCGGUCUGUCUGUAGGUCCUAGCUGACUACAUUAACGGCUCCAUUCCAAUACUCUAACUCCCGUCUGUCUGUAGGUCCUAGCUGACUACAUUAACGGCUCCAUUCCAAUACUCUAACUCCGGUCUGUCUGUAGGUCCUAGCUGACUACAUUAACGGCUCCAUUCCAAUACUCUAACUCCCGUCUGUCUGUAGGUCCUAGCUGACUACAUUAACGGCUCCAUUCCAAUACUCUAACUCCG